GAGAGAAGCUGAGGGCUUCAAGCAAUGAGAUUUGAGCCUACCUCCCUUCAUCAAAAGUGCAGCUAGAAAAACUUGGAGAAGCAACCAGAACGGGAGUUGGGAGGGUAAUACUUUUACAUCAAAACAACACUAGCUUUAUUGGCUGUAAUAAGAGCAAAGUAGAACCUUCCACUUCUAUCUUUGUCACCCUGCAAUUUGUCCCUGACCC
Molecule: long non-coding RNA, 208 nt
Filed under: Homo sapiens (human)
Lineage: Eukaryota; Metazoa; Chordata; Mammalia; Primates; Hominidae
Description: HSALNT0250420
Source: RNAcentral